CAGGCCCAGGCCCCCCCACCUCAGGGAGCACCUGCAGGACACCCCCAGGAAGAAGCACGGGACCCGGGGGCGGGCAGGGACAGUGACUUUAGAAGCUGGGAGAACAUGUGGAUGGACAAACAUUAACCGAGGAGAAGAGCUGCAGAUGCUGUGCGGGCGAGAAGGGACGUGACCAACGCCAGACCGCUGGAGUCCUCGGGACCACGGGGGAAAGACGAGACGGCGUGGGAACGUCACGACCAGGGAAGGGGGAAAACACAAGGAGACUCGUAAAACGUCAGUGCGAGCGCAGGUAGGAGAGGACUGCUCGGAGCGGCGUGGCAACAGUGGAGCAAAGAGAAUCACAAAAUAAGACGACAGAAAUAAAUUCCCAUGUAUUUGCGACCGUGAUAAACAGAGUGAGAUGAAAGUGUCCAGGUGAAAAGCAGGGAUUGAAUUUUUUUUUAAAUAAAAU
Canis lupus familiaris (dog) is the source of this 454-nucleotide long non-coding RNA. RefSeq lists it as uncharacterized. NCBI's taxonomy places the organism in Eukaryota, Metazoa, Chordata, Mammalia, Carnivora, Canidae. The transcript has 2 exons. The record is from RefSeq and is a predicted model, not a curated record.